GAUGAAGAACGUAGCGAAAUGCGAUAAGUAAUGUGAAUUGCAGAAUUCAGUGAAUCAUCGAAUCUUUGAACGCACAUUGCGCCCGCCAGUAUUCUGGCGGGCAAGCCUGUUCGAGCGUCAUUUCAACCAUCAAGCCCCCGGCUUGUGUUGGGGACCUGCGGCUGCCGCAGGCCCUGAAAUGCAGUGGCGGGCUCGCUGUCACUCCGAGCGUAGUAGUUACAUCUCGCUCUGGGCGUGCUGCGGGUUCCGGCCGUUAAAAGCCUUAUUUACCCAAGGUUGACCUCGGAUCAGGUAGGAAGACCCGCUGAACUUAAGCAUAUCAAUAAGCGGAGGA
RNAcentral lists this unclassified non-coding RNA (334 nucleotides) under soil metagenome. Its description in RNAcentral is "partial contains 5.8S ribosomal RNA, internal transcribed spacer 2, and large subunit ribosomal RNA". The stretch from base 1 to 120 matches the Rfam family "5.8S ribosomal RNA", at positions 35 to 154 of the family's 154-position model. The record is from RNAcentral.